AUGGCUAAAGGCCCAAAGGUAUCACACCCCGAGUAUGUUGAUUUCAAUAGUGAUGAAGAUGACUUGCUAGGUGAUGAUGAUUUACUUGUUGACAACUCUAGUGAUGAAUACUAUGAUGAAACAUCAAUUAAUCAUGCUAAUCAAGAUAAAACGAAUGACAAUGAUAAGGAGAAGAUUGAGUCUCUAACUAAAGAACUAAACACUCUUAAGUUAGCUCAUGAAACUAUCUUAGGAGAUCAUCGAGAACUUUUAAGAGCUCAUGAGAGAUUACGCUUUGAAAAGCUCAACCUUGAGCAAGAGCAUGAGUUCUUAAAAGCAAUCAAUGAUGAUCUUCGCAAGAAAAGUUCUUCUUACAUUGCCAAGCGUUUACUCUUAUCCACUUACAUGCCUCAAGUCAAGUCUAGUAACAAGAACAAGAAAGAUUCUUCCUCUAGUAGUAACAAUAAUCAUGCUAAAUCCAAUAUUGUUGCUUCUAGUAGUUCUCUUGAUUCCACUAAUGAUUCUCUUAGCCAAGUUACACUUGAGCAAGAAAAUAUCUUAUUGAAGGGUAUUAUAGAGAAAGGUGUUUACAAGAGCCUUGCCGGAAGUAAGCAAUUCGAGGAAAUUGUACGCAAGCAAGGAAGGCACCGGAAUAAUCAAGGUGUUGGUUUUGAACGAAAGUUCAAUGCCAAUGGAGUUGAGUGGGAAGAAGAUCAAUACCCCAAGACGAAGUUUGUUCCUCAACAAGAGAAGUAUGAUCCUACUUCUCUCAAAGGGACACAAGAUAAAGAUGAUCUUCCACCACAAUACCACAAGCAAAAAGGCAAGGACAAGCUUCAAGAGGAAAUUGAUGCAUUUGAAGAAGCUCCUAAGGCCUUGGUCAAGUGGGUUCCCAAGACUACUUCAAGUUCCACUUCAUCAAGUACAACUACAACACCGAGGAUUCCCAUCAAGAUGGUGUGGAUCCCGAAGAAGAAGAACUAG
Molecule: ribosomal RNA, 963 nt
Filed under: Triticum aestivum (bread wheat)
Lineage: Eukaryota; Viridiplantae; Streptophyta; Magnoliopsida; Poales; Poaceae
Description: partial small subunit ribosomal RNA
Source: RNAcentral